RNAcentral lists this small RNA (125 nucleotides) under Marmota monax (woodchuck). Lineage: Eukaryota; Metazoa; Chordata; Mammalia; Rodentia; Sciuridae. The record is from RNAcentral.
GCCAGGUGUGGUGGCACACACCUGUAAUCCCAGUGACUCAGGAGGCUGAGACAGGAGGAUCACAAGUUCAAAGCCAGCCUCAGCAAUGUCGAGGUGCUAAGCAACUCAGUGAGACCCUGUCUCAA